GUCUGCAUGGCUCAGUUGGUUAGAGCGCCGGUCUCAUAAUCCGGAGAUCGCCAGUUCGAUCCUGGCUGUGGACA
RNAcentral lists this transfer RNA (74 nucleotides) under Schizophyllum commune H4-8. Its description in RNAcentral is "tRNA-Met (CAT) (tRNA-Met-CAT-2-1)". It matches the Rfam family "tRNA". From Rfam's summary of the family: Transfer RNA (tRNA) molecules are approximately 80 nucleotides in length. Lineage: Eukaryota; Fungi; Basidiomycota; Agaricomycetes; Agaricales; Schizophyllaceae. The record is from RNAcentral.